AUUGAACGCUGGCGGCGUGCCUAACACAUGCAAGUCGAGCGGUAACAGGUGUAGCAAUACAUGCUGACGAGCGGCGGACGGGUGAGUAACGCUUGGGAAUCUGCCUAUUAGUGGGGGACAACCCGGGGAAACUCGGGCUAAUACCGCAUACGCACUACGGUGGAAAGCCGGGGACCGCAAGGCCUGGCGCUAACAGAUGAGCCCAAGUCGGAUUAGCUAGUUGGUAGGGUAACGGCCACCAAGGCGACGAUCCGUAACUGGUCUGAGAGGACGACCAGUCACACCGGAACUGAGACACGGUCCGGACUCCUACGGGAGGCAGCAGUGGGGAAUAUUGGACAAUGGGCGAAAGCCUGAUCCAGCGACGCCGCGUGGGUGAAGAAGGCCUGCGGGUUGUAAAGCCCUUUCAGUGGGGAAGAAAAGCCUCGAGCUAACACCUCGGGGUCUUGACGUAACCCAUAGAAGAAGCACCGGCUAACUCUGUGCCAGCCGCCGCA
This 497-nucleotide ribosomal RNA is filed under the name uncultured bacterium. Its description in RNAcentral is "bacterial SSU rRNA". It matches the Rfam family "Bacterial small subunit ribosomal RNA", at positions 29 to 519 of the family's 1533-position model. The record is from RNAcentral.